UAUCUGGGAAAGAGACUAGCUUUAGGCAGUUUUAGAUACAUGGUUCCAGGAUAAUUUGGCGAACUGAAUCCAUUAAGCAAGAGGGUCUUUGGGUAACAACCGUAAAGGCCGUCGCUAAAAUUUAGCAGGAAGGCCUUGCAUUUGCACAACUGUAAGCAUAGAUUUUCACAGCUUUCAUAGGUGUAAUUGGGGUAGUGACCAUAGUCAUAGCCGUAGAGUUGAACAUGAGGGAGUGGGAAGAAGCCCACCUCAGUUUGGUUACAAGCGAUAUCAGUUUCUGGUGCGCACCCAUAAGACCAGUCAGUUGAAUUUACAAUCUUGAAUCCAGGCAUGCAAGAGCAUCCUCUGCCAUAAGCAGGGGUGUAACUGCAGAGACUGUUGGGUCCGCAGAUGCCAUGAAUCUGGCAUGGUUGGGAGAUAGCCUGCCAUGAAACCGACCAGGUUCCUCUCGUUUCUUCUAGACUAUACAUUCUAAGAUUGCCAUCGAAAUCGAGGGCCAAUCUUCUCUGAGGCCCCGCACCAAAAUCCGCUGACCGAAAUUCCAAAUCAUCUGAUGCUCUAUAAUAACCCAAAGAAUCGAAUACUGCGAUUCGACUGUUGUUGUAUGUGCUUCUUCCAGCAUCCCAGGUCACCAGGCUUGGGUCUGGCCAGUAGAUGCUGGAAACCUCAGUACCAUUGAAGAGAAGGCGGAUGACGUUAUCACUGUCAAAAAAUAGCUUAUAAAAACCAGAAGAAUAGUUGCUUUGGCUUCUUGAGGAGAUAAGGCUGGUAUCUUUGGUCAGUAUCUGGUGAGGAAGAAGAGUAUCUGUGGGUGAGUCAAAGCUCUGCCAAAUCACCGUCUUCUCCCAAGCAUAUAGAACAAGAUUGCCGGUGUUAAGGAGCUGUAAUCUCGCAGAUGAGGUUGAAACGGUGUUGAUCAUCCAAACCAUGAUUUUACCAGCAUCAGUUAAGAGGAGAUUGCCAUUCCUCAACAAAGAAAGCUUGGAGCCUCUACCGUUGACCGGUUGGUCACGGUUCGCCAUCCAAACUGUGGUUGCACCCCAUGAUUUUGUAAACCAUAUGGCGAAGCAGAAAGUGUUGUUGCCGACCUGAUAAAACCCAGCAGAGAAUAUACCAUUUGCUGAAAUGAGAAGAUCAUUUGAUUUCUCCACGGAAAGAGACGAGCCUUCGCUCAGAGUAUCAUACGUUUCAGAUGAAGAUGGAUAGCAAGUUAAUAGCAAAGCCAAAACAAAGAAACCAACUGUCCUAUCCAUGAGUUUUGGGAUAUGGUUUAUGUGCUCUGUUUCCUGAUCAGAUAUUUGCAAUGGAGAAUGCAAGUGUACGGUGCUACCAGAGUUUAGAAAAUAAAUUGACUCCUUGACUGGGGUGAAGGGGGGAAAUUCACAUUGCCCCUCGGGCCAAGUUUUGCUUGUGCCAUCGUGUUGGGUUUCUAAAAGCAUUUCAUGUCAACGUCAAAAUAAUGGGAUGAAGACCCGCUAUUUUUAAUGGGAUCUAUUUUGAUUGGAUGACUUGGGCCAUUCAAAUUUUGUAGUUUCCACUUGGAACAACAAAAUUAUUAUGAGAUACGUCAUUUUGAAGAAAGAUUCUAGAAAUAAGAUGUUAAAUUGAUCUCUUUUCCAUGUAGCUGAACUCGUCAACUGUGAGUCUGAGCCAUAUGAUUUCUGUGCCAUACAGAAGCUUAUUGUUCCAAGUUGCCUGUUCAAAGGUUGACCUGUGAACAGUUUGGAUCCAAAUACAAUGAAUGUGAUGAAAUUUACUGAAACCGGGACUCUCUGACUGGCCUGUGGCCUUUAUGAGUUUUAUUUUAGAGGUGACGUCUGAUGUUGAUUGGCCCAAGCAGGGAAAGAUCAAAUGGGAAACGACGGUCACAACUUGUGGGGUGACUUACCAUUCACCAAGUAACACUUCAAAGAAAUUAAUCGAGCCAAUGGAUUUCACAAGUUCCCUCUUUGCAGAAUUUUGAAUAUUUAAAAAGAAUCUUAACUUUUAAAACCUAAAUUUAUAGUUAAUUUUUAGGUGUAAUUGUGUUUUGGAUGUAGUUGGACCAAAAAAAUUAAGUUUUGAUUCAUAUAAGUUUAUCAUUUAAGUCCAAUACUUAAAGAAAGUAUGAAAAUUAAAAAAAAUGAUAUGAAUUUUUUAUCUUUCUAAAAAUGAUAUUUAUUGACUAUGAAAAAAAUAAGUAGAAAAACAUUAAUUUAAAUUUUAUUCUUUUUAUAAACUUCAAUAAAAUUUAAUUUCAUUUAAUGAUUUGAAAAAAAAAACACCAUUUUAAAAAAAAUAAUAAUAAAUUAUUAUUAUUAUUAUUAUUAUUUAAAAAUCAAACAUAUUGAAAAAAAUAUAUUUUUAAAAUUAUAUAUGUAAAAAAUAACUAAAAACAUGUCAAAAUUUUUUUAAAAAUGAUAUAUUUUUAGAAUAUUUUUUUUUAAAAAAAAUAGUUUUCUUAAAAUAAUAAAUUUUCAGAAUAAUUAUUAAAAAAAAUUAAGAUAAAAAAGUUUGUCAAACAUUAUAAUAGAAAACACUCAAAAUAGUUUUGAAGGGUAUAUGAGUGUUUUCAUAUUUUAUAUCCUUCCCCUUGAUUAUGCCCAGAUAGAUCCAAAACAUUAUUAUCCCUAAUUUUUAAACGCUUAAUUAUUGCGAUUUGAGGGUAAAACAUUUUCUUUUAUUCAAUCAAGAUUGAAUUUAAAAUAAUAGCGUUGGUAUUACUCCCUCUCUUUUAUCCUUUUCUUAUUCUAUCUAAUAGUUGUUUUCUCGCCGCCUUUGUGGGCCAAGAUGAACUAAUGCUAAGAAUUUUAUUCAUCUGCUUUCUUUCAAGACUCACUUAUUGAAUAUAAUAUCUCAAUAAAUAUGGAACCUGAUUUUGAUUAUAUUGGUACAAUUAUUGAUACAACUGUUGGCUCCGCUCAUUUUGAUUAUAUUGGUACAAUUUUAUUCAUCCUAACCUCUAUGUCAACAGGACCACUAAACUUAAGAAAAAACACUAAAUUUUGAAUUUUUAACUUCUAAAAAAAAACACCCGACCCGACUACCUAAUCUAAAUGUUUUCCUUUCUCAUUUGAAAGUUUUCUCUCAUCUUUUUUCACUCAUGACAACCCAAAAUUUCUCUUAUUUCAAUUUAGAAACCCAAAACUGAAACUCCAAAGCGGUGUCAAAAUGCCUCUUUCGACAUGCCUCUGGCUGAGACGCCUCAGCUAGGCGCUUGCCUUGAGCCCUAACUACAGUUAACUCUCGUCUAGGAGCUAUGGGAGUCUAAGACAAUUCGGUAAAAACGAAAUAGAGCUCAGAUGGAGAGAGUAGAUGCCCAAAAACUAAAACCCUAACCUCCAAAUGCGUCCUAAACUCGCAAAUUCGUAUUCAAUAUAGCUUUAUCAGACAUAAAUAGCACCAAACAUCUCUCUUAGACCACCGAAUCGACAAAGCCCUUGAAGAACCAAAGGAAACGGUGCAAAAAAUGAAGCGCAGGAGACUUUUAAAGUAUUGGGUGUUGACGAACUUGUUGAUCGAACCUUGAUCGGUCACCUUUGGUAUUUUGGUGACUGCACCUUAGAUACUACCUUAACUAACCUUUGGUACUACCUUAGUUAAACUUGAAUACUACUUGUGUGAAACCUCAGAACUUCAUUUGUGGAUAUGACUCACUUCAUUUGUGACCUUUAGAGCAUGUCAUUUUGUAAUUAAUUAGUGUGGUCAAUUGGUUCACCUUUUGUAUUUUAGUGACUGUACCUUAGACAUUACCUUAAUAGCCCUAAGAUAUAACCUUAAUUUACCUUAAAUACUACCUUAAUUGACCUUAGGUACUACUUUAGUUAAGCUCAUUCAACUUUCUAAGAGCAAGUUGGUGUCCUUUUCAGUUUUAGACAUAAAAUAGGUCAACCGGUUAUCCUUUCUCGAUCAAGGUUUGGUUGAGAAUGAAGUAAGUAAUAUCCACAAAUGAAAUUCCGAGGCUUCAGAUAGGUAGUACCCAAGUUUUACUAAGGUAGUACAUAAGGUUGGUUAAGAUAGUAUCUAAAAAAAAUAUAUGCCAUGAUAAAAGAAAUCCACCAUGAUAAUCCGUUGGGAGAAAAAUCGAUAGAAAAUCGGUAAUUUCACUGAAAAAUCAACGAAAUCUCGGUGAUAAGUUGGGAUGUAUGGCAACUUUGGGCAAUCAGUGGUAUAAAAAAAAUUGUGGUGAAAUAUUAGCAACCCAUUUUUUUGGUGGCAGUUUUUUUUUUUUUUUUAAUUUUAUAAUUUAUCCUGUUUUUAAAAUUUUUAAUUAUUCAUUUUUAAUUUAUCAUUUCAUUUUUAACUAUUUUUUAUAUUUAUCACAUUAAUUUUAUUUAAAAAAAUUACUAUCACUUCACUCUUAAUUUUUCUUAUAUUUAUCCUUUUAAUUUUAUUUAAUUUUAAAUGUUUUUGUUUUAAAAUAUUAAAAAUAUAAUUUUACUAAAAAAUUGUUACAAUAAAAAAAAUUAAUGAAGUUCUAAUAUUUUAUAAAUUAAAAUUAAUUUAAUAAAACAAAUUAUUAAUAAUUUUAAUUAUUAAAAUAAAUUAAUUUUAAUAGAAAAAGUUGUCAAUAUUUGUAAUAAAAUUUUAGAAAUUAAAUCUUAAAUAAAAUAUGUUAUAUAAAUCAAUUUAAUUUUUUAUUUACAAUGUAAUAAAACAUGGUUUAAUAAAAAUAUUUUUAAAAUGUUAAAAUAAAUUAAUAUAAAUAUAUUAAAGGAAAUUAAGCUAUUUUUUUAUGAAAAUUUGAUAAAUAUUAUCUUUAAUCAUGUUUGGUAGUUACAAAAUAAUUUUAAUAUAUAUAUUUUUUUAUUUCAUCAUAUUUUUGAAAGCUUUUUAUAUGAAUUUUGAACUACUUGUGUUUGAUAUGAUAUUUUUGUCAAAAUAUUCAUCGAUAUUUAUUCGAUAUUUUCGAUAUAUCCAUAAAAUUUAAAUACCAUGUAUCCAUAUUUAACGAUAUAUUUCUAACAUUUGAGUUGAUGGGAAAUGUGAAUGAGAUUAAGAAAAAUAGAGAAUGUUGAGUUUUAAUUGGUUAUAAGAAAUGAAAUAAUUCUCAAAUCCAAAAUUUAACGAUUCCCAUAUUUUUUUUGUGGAAAAAUAACUUUUUUUUUUAUAUAUAUAUAAAUGUUAUUUUUUAUUUCAAAUAUAAUGUGAAUGAGAUUAAGAAAAAUAGAGAAUGUUGAGUUUUAAUUGGUUAUAAGAAAUGAAAUAAUUCUCAAAUCCAAAAUUUAACCAUUUCCAUAUUUUUUUGUGGAAAAAUAACUUUUUUAUAUAUAUAUAUAUAUAAAUGUUAUUUUUUAUUUCAAAUAUCUAUAUAUAAGUUUUAAAAAAAAUAAUUAUUUUUAUAAGAAAAUAAUGAGGAUAUUUUUAUCUAAAUGAUCUCAAAAAAAAAAAUACCUAAAGAUAUUUUUGUAUGAUGUCUUGUCCAUCAUAAAAAAAAUUACUCAGGGAGGGUGUAGUUUGGUAAAGAGACCGAGCUCGUGGAUGGAAGCUCUGGCCCACAUCCGAAGAUUUCAUAACGACGUAUAAAGUAUAAACUAUCCUAGGCCUUCGCUUAUAACUUCAUUUGUGUGUUCCUUCCCAGAAUUUGAUUCAAGGUUCGCCCUACAGCCUUUUCAGCUGAUCCAAUUUCAUAGAUUACAUGGAUGCGCCAGUUCUUUUGCUUCUUCUCGCUCUGCUUCUAUCUUCUCCACUUCCAUCGUCUACCCUCGACAGUUUGAGUCAAGGCUCAUCCCUAUCAGUUGGGAAGCCUGAACAAGUUUUAAUUUCACAAAGUAGAAUCUUUUCAGCCGGCUUCUACCCCGUCGGUGACAAUGCUUAUUGUCUUGCCAUGUGGUUCACCAAACCAUCCUACGACGGGAAACAUACGGUUGUUUGGAUGGCAAACCGAAACCAACCAGUUAAUGGGAAUUUCUCAAAGCUUUCCCUGCUAAAAAAUGGUGAUCUUAUCUUAACAGAUGCCGGGCGGUUCAUAGUUUGGGCCACAAAGACGGUUGGGAUUUCUCCGGUGCGAUUACAUCUCUUCAAAUAAAAUACUUGACAGUGGCAUGUUGUGUUGGACCCUUGUAGUUGUUGGUUGUACAGGGCGGAUCCGCUUGAUUAGCUUUUGUAGCAUAUUGUAAGCAUGCAUGGCUCUCAAAAUCUUAAGAGACAGAAAUGAAAUUUACUCUAAUAAUAUAUAUAGACACGUAAAGAUAAAAAUAUACUAUUAUCCUUUUUCAUAUAGUAUUGUAUCUUGUAUAGAAUACAUAAUCACUUGAAGUAAUUGUAUUACCCAAUAAAUUGUACCUAGUUUUAGUGACGUAACCAACAAUUUGAUUUAAGGGUGGCAACUAUUAAUGCAUAUAUAGGCCUUAGCUCAAUAGUCAAGACUUGUUAUUGUUAAGGGAGACAUUAUCUGUCUUGAGUUCAAAUUCUUAUAUUGUAAAAAUUGAAUCUUUUAUUUUUUAGCAUUUUCAUGAGGAGAGAUGACCCCCAUAGGCUCUAUCUGGCUCUAUGUCAAUGCCUAGUUUAUUGAUCGAUGGUGUUUGAAUCUAUUUAUUUUUUAUUCUUAACAUUUUCAAGGGGUAGGUGCCCCUUAGGCCUUACCCAGCUCUACUUGUAUCUAGUUUAUUGAUUGAUGGUGUUUGAAUCUAUUCAUUAUAAAAUUUUCUUAUUUUUUAUUUUAGUUAAUAUUUUAUUUAAAUUGUUAAGCUUGUUUUCAAUGAUUAAAAUAAAUAAAAACAGCAUGCAUUAUUAAUUUAUUACGUCAAGUACAAUAAAAUAAGAAAAUAAUAUACUUGGCUAAAUAAGUUCAUUCAAUAGUAUUUCAGAAAGUAACUUUCAAAUGAUAAGGAAGUAACAAUAUUACACAAAAAAAAAAAAGUUCUCUGAGGUUAAAUUAUAUCUUAUAUUUAAUUAUUAAUAAAAAUAGAAUAGUCAAUUGUACUUUUAUUCAUACCUCAUAUUACUAUAUUAGAUGAUAAGCCAGUAUAGAUAGAUUAAUACUAUGAUUGGUUUCAAAAAAUUAUUAAGAAAAGAAAAAGAAUAUUAAGAAAAAUAGGUUUUUAAUAUCUUAUUUUAGUAUAAAAAUAAAAAAUAAGAUAUAAUUAAAAUUAAUUAAAAACUUACAUAUUUUUAAAUUAUUUGAUAUUUAUAUAAAAAAUAAUAUAUUAACUUAAAUGAGUUUAAGAUGGUAUAUAAAAUAAUUUAUCAGCUUUAAAUUUUUUUUUUUUUUACUUUUACAUGAUACUUAAAAAGGUAUAUAAAUAGAGAAACAGUAUACUAAAUAAAAUAAUUUUAUCUAUAUAUAAAAAUAAUUUAUUAAUUUAAAAUCUAUUUUUAUUUCCUUUUAACUUUUCUUUCCUUUCUUUUUCCAUAUUUUCCAAAUACUUCACAGAGCACUCCACUCCCUUUUUUUUUUUCUUUUUUUUUUCUUUUUUACCUCAAAAUUUCAGAAACCAAACAUAAAAAUACAAACACAGGUGUAAAGUUUGUAUCUUUGUGAAACUCAUGUAAUCCUGACCCAUGGGAACCUUCCCAUACAAUUAAUUUCCUGCAAAGGAAGGCGGCAGCAACAUGUCAUUGGGUGAGCGUCUUAGGAGACAAAAUCUGACCAGCGGUUGAAGGAAAAAUGCACAAUUUAACUUAUCUGUGGAAGCUUGCCCAGCUGGGUCGUUUUCCAAAACACGAGGCUGCAGCUUGGAACCUGGGGCAUUCAUAUUCCAUCAUCAUCAUUAUUAACAUUUUUAUUCCAUCUAGCUUUCACCUUCCCAUGGGAAUUGCUACCAUCCGCACAAGUCAAGAGCGACUUUGUCUUUUCCAUAAAUAUUAGUAUUAUUUGUGUGUUCCUUCCCAGAAUUUGAUUCAAGCUCAGCCCUACGGCCUUUUCAACUGAUCCAACUUCAUAGAUGACAUGGAUGCGCCAGUUCUUUUGCUUCUUCUCACUCUGCUUCUAUCUUCUCCACUUCCAUCGUCCACCCUCGACAGUUUGAGUCAAGGCUCAUCCCUCUCAGUUGGAAAGCCUGAACAAGUUUUGAUUUCACAAAGUGGAAUCUUCUCAGCUGGCUUCUACCCCGUCGGUGAUAAUGCUUAUUGUCUUGCCAUAUGGUUCACCAAACCAUCCUACGACGGCAAACAUACCGCUGUUUGGAUGGCAAACCGAAACCAACCAGUUAAUGGGAAUUUCUCAAAGCUUUCGCUGCUAGAAAGUGGUGAUCUUAUCUUAACAGAUGCUGGGCGGUUCAUAGUUUGGACCAUAAAGAGGGUUGGGAUUUCUCCGGUGCAAUUACACCUCUUCAACACUGGUAACCUUGUGCUGCGUACCUCGGAUGGUGUUAUUCAAUGGCAAAGUUUCGAUUCACCAACAGAUACCCUUCUCCCUCACCAACCACUCACCAGAAAUACGAGACUCGUCUCUUCAAGAACCAAAACCAACUUUUUCUCAGGGUUUUAUAAGCUCUAUUUUGACAACAAUAACGUCCUCAGUCUUGUCUUCGAUGGGCGGGACGCUUCAAGCAUUUACUGGCCCCCAUCGUGGCUUGUAAGCUGGCAGGCGGGAAGAUCGGCAUACAACAGCAGCAGAACUGCAUUACUAGAUAACUUUGGCUAUUUUUCUUCAUCCGACGAUUUUAAGUUUCAGUCCUCGGAUUUUGGUGAGAGAGUCCAAAGAAGAUUGACCCUGGAUAUUGAUGGCAACUUACGAUUAUACAGUUUUGAGGAAAGGAGAAAUAAGUGGGUUGUUACUUGGCAAGCCAUCACGCUACAAUGCAACAUUCAUGGAAUAUGCGGACCCAACAGUAUUUGUACCUAUGUGCCUGGUUCUGGGAGUGGAAGGAGAUGCUCUUGCAUACCUGGAUAUGAGAUGAAAAAUCGCACUGACCGAACUUAUGGAUGCAUACCUAAAUUCAAUCUUUCUUGCGACUCACAGAAGGUUGGUUUCCUCCUACUCCCACACGUUGAGUUCUACGGCUAUGAUUAUGGCUAUUACCCCAAUUACACCUUACAGAUGUGUGAAAAACUGUGCUUGGAAAUAUGUGGCUGCAUAGGAUAUCAAUACAGCUAUAAUUCGGAUGUUUAUAAAUGUUAUCCUAAGCGGCUGUUGCUCAACGGAUACCGCUCGCCUAGUUUUGUAGGACAUAUAUACCUAAAAUUGCCUAAAGCUAGUCUUCUUUCCUAUGAAAAACCGGUUAAGGAAUUCAUGUUAGAUUGCUCUGGCAACCGCUCAGAGCAGCUAGUAAGAUCUUAUGCAAAAGCCCACGAAAAUGAAGUGUUAAAGUUCAUCCUCUGGUUUGCGUGCGCAAUUGGAGCAGUUGAGAUGGUUUGCAUUUGUAUGGUGUGGUGUUUCUUGAUGAAGGCCCAGCAAAACACCAGUACAGAUCCGCCAGGCUACAUUUUAGCUGCCACGGGAUUCAGAAAAUUCACCUAUACUGAGCUGAAGAAAGCAACACGGGGUUUCAGUGAGGAGAUUGGCAGAGGAGGAGGUGGGGUUGUAUACAAAGGUGUCUUAUCAGACCACCGAGUGGCAGCCAUCAAGCAGCUCAGUGGAGCUAACCAAGGAGAAUCUGAAUUCUUGGCAGAAGUAAGUACCAUUGGGAGGCUUAACCACAUGAACUUGAUAGAGAUGUGGGGUUAUUGCUUUGAGGGGAAGCACAGGCUCUUGGUUUAUGAAUACAUGGAGCAUGGAUCACUAGCACAAAACCUCACUUCCAAUACACUUGAUUGGCAGAAGAGGUUCGACAUUGCGGUGGGCACAGCAAAAGGCCUGGCUUAUUUACACGAAGAGUGCUUGGAGUGGGUUCUACACUGCGAUGUGAAGCCUCAAAACAUACUCCUAGACGUUAAUUAUCAGCCAAAGGUGGCAGACUUCGGCCUGUCAAAGUUACAGAACAGAGGAGAAAUCAACAAUUCGAGAUUGUCGAGGAUCAGAGGAACAAGAGGUUACAUGGCUCCAGAAUGGGUUUUGAACCUCCCCAUCACCUCCAAAGUAGACGUUUAUAGCUAUGGUAUUGUGGUUCUGGAGAUGGUUACCGGCCGAAGGAGUGCUUCAAUGGCCAUCCACGGUACAGAUGGCAUAGGGGAACGUCAGAGUUUGGUGGCAUGGGUGAAAGGGAAGAUGAAUGGAGCAACUGCGGUUGCUUCGUGGAUGAAAGAAAUCCUAGACCCGUCGAUGGAAGGCGAAUAUGACAUGGGUGAGAUGGAAAUUCUAGUAGCAGUGGCUUUGCAAUGUGUGGAAUUGGACAAGGAUGAAAGACCCACCAUGAGUCAGGUGGUCGAGACGCUUCUCCGCCCCGAACGUGGAAACAAUCAUCACUACUAAUAAAUUAAUGCCUCGUAUGGGGCCCAAGUGAGGUGGCUUUCUGUACCUGUUCCGCCCAUUUAUGAUAUUUGUAAAAAGACAGUAAUUUUAAGUAGAAUAAUUGAGAAGCCGAAUCUUUUGAUACAACAUACAAUAUAAUUAUAUUGAAGUAUCUUUUUAAAAGAUACAACUUGGUUAUAAAUUUUAAUGUCAAUCUUCUCGAAUGUUAAGUAAAAAAUUGUUUAAUUUUUUUAGAAAAUCUUUAAUAUUAUGUCACUAUAUUUAAAGUAUUUUUUAAGAGGUUAUCAAAAUUUGAUAUUAUUUUUUAAUUCAAAUUUAUAAUUAUAAUUUAUAAAUAGUUUUUUAAUUAUUAUAAAAUACCGGACUUCUUACUAGAUCAAUUAGAAUGGACGAUCAUCUAUUCCUCUAUAUCUCUUCAAUAUUGUUGCUAUCCUCCUCCCAACUUUAUAUAAAAUAAAAAUUUUACUAAUAAAUAUUACAUGGAAUUUUGUUCCCAAUAUCUCUCCUUCGUACUCUUAUCUUAUUAAACUCUUCUUUUACAAUAUUAAUUGAUAUAUUUUAGGUAUUUGUAUGUUAGUGAAUUAAUUUAAAUAUCGUAGGUUUUGACUUUUGGGACAACCAUUUUAGAGAGCUCAUACAUCACGCACUACCACCUCAACCUUCUUUGACAUUCAUUUAUUUAUUUUUAUUACCUUUCGAUCGGUGAUAUCAUUGCUUAGGAACAAUAAUUAUUGUGAAGGCAUUUUAUCUUUUUCGUUUACCCAAGAAUAAUCAUACUAAUAUAAACAAAUAAUUUUGAUCAUGCACAAAUAAAUAUAUUUUUAUAAAAUUUAGAUUUAAUUUUUUAGUAUAUGACAUAGAUUCUUCUUCUUCUCCUUUGCUAAAUCUCAUGUGGUUGGAUUUGGAGCAUCGACUGUACGUAUUAUUCAAUUGUGAAAGACAAAUUUCAUUGAGUUGAAAGACCAAUGGGCCAUGGACGCAAUGCUUGCUUCACUUAAUUUUUUAAAACUCGUUUUUAGUAGUACAAAUUUUUUUAUUAUAUAAAGUAUUGAUGUUAUUAUCUUUUUAUAUUAAUUUUAUUUUUCUUCCAUUUUUUAUAUUGAUUUUAUAAAAACAUAUCUUGGGAUAUUAUUUCACUAAAAACAUAUCAUAUGCAUAACCGUUUAACAUGCAAUUUUUUCAUACAUAAUCAAAGAUAGACUUUUUUUUCCUUUUACUUUUUUUCCUUCUUUUUUUUUUUUUGGUAUUUUGUCGUAAACAAACACGGUCUUAGAAUUUAAUCACAAACAAAGUAUUAUGUUACUUUUAAUCAAAUUUAAGGACUUGGCAUGCCUGUCAUGUACUUUAGACACAAAUGAAAAGUUUGAGGUCUCCUAUUGAAAAUUUAAUUCAUUCCAGUAUACCAUAUUAUUAUUAUUAUUAUUAUUUUGGUGAUCAUGGGUAUAAAUAUUACUAGGAAAAAAGGCAAAUUGACGUAAUAGAAGGCCUAACGGCUCAUGUUUUGUAUUUAUUUAAAUUAGUAUUUAUUAAUCAUUUAUUGAUGUGAUAAAAAAUUUGUAAUUCAAAAUUUGAUUUUAUCAAGUGAAGUACCCGAUAAACAGAAACGGAGGAACCUAAAGGGAGGGAAAAAAAAAAGGUGAAAUGAAGACACAUCCAAAAACCCUAAUGGCCUAUUGUCACACCCUCGAAAAUCACCUUAAAUUUUUCUUACGAGUGCGUGGUGCUAAGGACCCGUCCUUAGCCAACCUUCCCUUCCCAACGUUUAGAAGAACAGAAUAGAAUACAGAAAUCAAAGCAACAGGGACACACGAGGUUGCAGGAAAAUCCUUUCCCAACUUGUAUUAAUCACUCUUACAAGACAAAAUUGCUUCUUGAACUAGAGUACAAUGCACUUACCCAAGGCAUACAAGAAGGAAUCCUUUCCCCAACUCUCACCCUCUGUUUCAAGGCUGCAGGAGCCCUAUUUAAAUGACUCAUCUACAGUUACACAUUUGAAUUCCCUCAAUUCAAAUCUUGGAGCCAACUAGGUGGUCAUGCAACUGGCCAGAACUGCCCUCAACUGCUUGCACAACCACCCACUGUGGAUUCGGCUCCUUGCGACACGUGGCAUCGCGCAUUUCACCCGGACGGAAAUUCUCCCUUAUUCCACCCGAAUAUCUCAUAUCCGGAAUUCUGUCCGCUGACGUUCCACUCGGAUAUCUCACAUCCGGCGCCUGUCCGCCGCCGUUCCACUCGGAUAUCUUACAUCUGGCGCCUGUCCACCGUUGUUCCACCCGAAUAUCUCUCAUCCGACGCCCCAUGUCAUCGGAUAGGAGAGGAGGACGAUUCAACUUCCCCAGGUAGACAUGUCCGAAUCCUUUGGUAACGCCUAUUCGGGGUGCGCGCAUGACUUGUCCACGAUCCCCACACUUAGCUCCUGGGGUUUGAACCACAAAACCUCCAGGCUUUCCUUGCUUUCCACCUAGGCUCUCAUAGGUGCAAGACCUACCCAUGAGGCUUAUUUCUCCGGGUUUGAAUCAAGUGGAUAAGGGGUUGACACAUAUCCCCUAAAAAUUCUAGCUUUAGAAUUAUUGUCCUAGAAGAAAAAGACGAGCAAGUGUUUUCUCACAUCAUGGAGUUACUAUAUAACGUUAAAAAACUAAAGUAUUGUUUGUUUUCUUAAUUUUUUAUUUCGGUUUUUUUUAAACCUUUCAUUAACUUAUUAUUUACUUCUUAAAUUUUUUUAUUAAAUAAAAAAUUUUAAAUAUAUAAAAUUUUUAAAUAUUGAAAAUAAUUCAUUAAUUUUUCUUUACUUAUUUAAUAAAAAUAAAAUAUAAAAAAUGAACAAUUUAAUACUUAAUAUUAUUAAAUACUAUUUAAUUUUAAAUUUUAUUUAAAAUUAAGUUAAAAAGAAACACCAUUUAAAUGUCUUCAUUGUGUGUUGGACAUUAUCAACUCUACUCUUUUAUAAAAAAAUUUAUUUUAGGAAAUUUUAGUUUCCAAAUGAAGUAGGUUUAUAAACAUAUCAAUUGCCUUAAAUUUAAUUGAAAUAAAUAAACAAUAAAAAAACACUUGAAUUGAUUAAGGAACAAUUUUUUUAUGCCAAGGGAAGAUGGUGGUGAUAUAUUGAUUUGAGUAAGGAUUUCAUAAUUUCUCAAAAGAAAGAGAAAGAGGAAAAAGCAAGAUUUAUUAAAAGAUAGAUACAUUAGGAUAUCAUAUUCGAAUUUAGUAUUUUUGUUUUCUCUUCUUUAUAAAACUAAAUAAUAGAAAUCAAAUACUUUUACCAACUUCGCAUACUGCACCGUUUCGUUUUUCACUUCGUCUAAUUUUACCUUCAAUUCAUUUGUUUCCUAUUUUAUUUCUUGAAACAUGUAUUGACUAAAGCCUCUGUACCAAUGUUUCAGGACAUGGAGAGGUAGCCGUCCUCCUCCGGCCUCUCCUCCGGUCACAUAAGCUUCUCAACUAUCUGGCUCAUCGUGGGUCUUGAGUCCCUGUCUUCCUCCACACAUUCCAAGGCAACUCCAAUCAGAAUUUCCAUCCGGCGCAGGUCGCAUUCGCCUUGCAUCACAGGGUCCAGGAUGUCUUCAAUCCACGACCCCCUGGCACCAAUCCCAUUCAUUCGAUCCCUCACCCAUUUAAUCAACCCACGCUGCUCUGUCUCUCCUUGGGCAUCAGUAUCGGGGAUAGCAGUUGGGCUCUUCCCUGUCACCAUCUCCAAAACCACGAUUCCAUAGUUAUAAACGUCUACCUUGGAGGUUAUGGGAAGGUUGAAUACCCAUUCAGGAGCCAUGUAUCCUCUGGUUCCUCUGAUCCUCGAGAAACUUGAAUUGUCAAGCCCUCCUCUGUUUCGCAGUUUCGACAUCCCAAAAUCGGCCACUUUUGGCUGGUAAUUAGAGUCCAAGAGUAUGUUCUGAGGCUUGACGUCACAGUGCAGAACCCACUCCAAGCAUUCUUCGUGUAAAUAAGCUAGGCCUCUGGCCGUGCCAAGCGCUAUUUGGAACCUCUUCUCCCAAUCAAGAGUAUUGGAAGAUAGCUUUUGUGCCAAGGAUCCAUGUUCCAUGUACUCAUACACCAACAGCCGGUGCUUCCCCUCUAUGCAAUAUCCCCACGUCUCUAUUAAGUUCAUGUGAUUAAGCCUUCCAAUGGUGCUCACUUCUGCUAGAAAUUCUGCUUCUCCUUGAUUGGCUUCUUUGAGGCGCUUGAUUGCUGCCACUCGACGAUCAAGCAAUACACCUUUAUAUACCACUCCUCCACCUCCUCUUCCAAUCUCUUGGGUGAAACCUCGCGUGGCCUUCUUCAACUUUGCAUAGCUGAAUCUUUUAAACCCGUUUGCAACGAGGAUGUAGCCUUGCAUGGUCGAGACUGGAUCAUGGUGUACCCUAAAUAAGAAAAGCCAUACCAGCAAGACAAUUGCCCCCUCUAGAACUCCCAGUACGUAGGCAAACCAAAGCAAAAACUUCAAUGACCCAUUUUCAUGGCCCUUGCGAUAUGUUGUAUCUAGCUGUAUAUAACGAGUGUUGCCUGAACAAUUCAUGGUGAAUUCUUCAAGAGUGUUGGAAAUCAAGCCAGCAUCCUCUGUUUACUUCCCUAAUUAGUGUAAUGUACAGCCUUUAUUAUAAUUGAUUUAGGAGUAAUUCUAGCAAGGUAGUUUAUUCACUUUCCAUGUAAGAGUAGUUUAUUCACUUCCCAUGUAAGAGUAGUUUAUUCACUUCCCAUGUAAGAGUUUAUUCACUUUCCAUGUAAGGGAAAUUCCAUUCCGGAAUUGUCUCAUAUCUGUAGGCUAUUUAUUUAUGCUUUCAUUCAUUGUAAAGGGUGAGAUCACGGAAUGAAUUGAGGUGUUCCUCCAUAGUUUGUCUUCAAAUUCUUCAUAUUUUUCUUCAAAUUCUUCAAAGAUGAUCAUAUCUGGGAAAGAGACUAGCUUUAGGCAGUUUUAGAUACAUGGUUCCAGGAUAAUUUGGCGAACUGAAUCCAUUAAGCAAGAGGGUAUUUGGGUAACAAUCGUAAAGGUCGUCGCUAAAAUUUAGCAGGAAGGCCUUGCAUUUGCACAACUGUAAGCAUAGAUUUUCACACCUUUCGUAGGUGUAAUUGGGGUAGUGACCAUAGUCAUAGCCGUAGAGUUGAACAUGAGGGAGUGGGAAGAAGCCCACCUCAGUUUGGUUACAAGCGAUAUCAGUUUCUGGUGCACACCCAUA
RNAcentral lists this long non-coding RNA (15444 nucleotides) under Vitis vinifera (wine grape). RNAcentral describes it as "long non-coding RNA (VVIN_LNC006009)". Lineage: Eukaryota; Viridiplantae; Streptophyta; Magnoliopsida; Vitales; Vitaceae. The record is from RNAcentral.